CCUACGGGUGGCAGCAGUGAGGAAUAUUGGUCAAUGGCCGGAAGGCUGAACCAGCCAUGCCGCGUGAAGGUCAGUGCCCUAUGGGCGUUAAACUUCUUUUGUGCGGGAGCAAUAAUGGUCACGUGUGGCCAGACGAGAGUACCGUACGAAUAAGCAUCGGCUAACUCCGUGCCAGCAGCCGCGGUAAUACGGGGGAUCCGAGCGUUAUCCGGAUUCAUUGGGUUUAAAGGGUGCGUAGGUUGUUUUAUAAGUUAGCGGUGAAAUACCGAUGCUCAACAUCGGGGCUGCCGCUAAUACUGUAGGACUAGAGAUCGGAUGCAGCAGGCGGAAUGUGUAGUGUAGCGGUGAAAUGCAUAGAUAUUACACAGAACACCGAUUGCGAAGGCAGCUUGCUAGGCCGGAUCUGACACUGAUGCACGAAAGCGUGGGGAUCGAACAGGAUUAGAUACCCGAGUAGUC
Molecule: ribosomal RNA, 459 nt
Filed under: uncultured bacterium
Lineage: Bacteria
Description: partial 16S ribosomal RNA
Rfam family: Bacterial small subunit ribosomal RNA
Source: RNAcentral